GGGUUGUGAGGUUAAGCGACUAAGCGUACACGGUGGAUGCCCUGGCAGUCAGAGGCGAUGAAGGACGUGCUAAUCUGCGAAAAGCGCCGGCGAGGUGAUAUGAACCUUUGACCCGGCGAUGUCCGAAUGGGGAAACCCAGUGUGUUCCGACACACUAUCGUUAACUGAAUACAUAGGUUAACGAGGCGAACCGGGGGAACUGAAACAUCUAAGUACCCCGAGGAAAAGAAAUCAACCGAGAUUCCCCCAGUAGCGGCGAGCGAACGGGGAGCAGCCCAGAGUCUGAAUCAGCUUGUGUGUUAGUGGAAGCGUCUGGAAAGUCGCACGGUACAGGGUGAAAGUCCCGUACACGAAAGCACACAGGCUGUGAACUCGAAGAGUAGGGCGGGACACGUGGUAUCCUGUCUGAAUAUGGGGGGACCAUCCUCCAAGGCUAAAUACUCCUGACUGACCGAUAGUGAACCAGUACCGUGAGGGAAAGGCGAAAAGAACCCCGGCGAGGGGAGUGAAAAAGAACCUGAAACCGUGUACGUACAAGCAGUGGGAGCCUCUUUUAUGGGGUGACUGCGUACCUUUUGUAUAAUGGGUCAGCGACUUAUAUUCUGUAGCAAGGUUAACCGUAUAGGGGAGCCGAAGGGAAACCGAGUCUUAACUGGGCGUUAAGUUGCAGGGUAUAGACCCGAAACCCGGUGAUCUAGCCAUGGGCAGGUUGAAGGUUGGGUAACACUAACUGGAGGACCGAACCGACUAAUGUUGAAAAAUUAGCGGAUGACUUGUGGCUGGGGGUGAAAGGCCAAUCAAACCGGGAGAUAGCUGGUUCUCCCCGAAAGCUAUUUAGGUAGCGCCUCGUGAACUCAUCUUCGGGGGUAGAGCACUGUUUCGGCUAGGGGGCCAUCCCGGCUUACCAACCCGAUGCAAACUACGAAUACCGAAGAAUGUUAUCACGGGAGACACACGGCGGGUGCUAACGUCCGUCGUGAAGAGGGAAACAACCCAGACCGCCAGCUAAGGUCCCAAAGUCAUGGUUAAGUGGGAAACGAUGUGGGAAGGCACAGACAGCCAGGAUGUUGGCUUAGAAGCAGCCAUCAUUUAAAGAAAGCGUAAUAGCUCACUGGUCGAGUCGGCCUGCGCGGAAGAUGUAACGGGGCUAAACCAUGCACCGAAGCUGCGGCAGCGACGCUUAUGCGUUGUUGGGUAGGGGAGCGUUCUGUAAGCCGUUGAAGGUGUCCUGUGAGGGGUGCUGGAGGUAUCAGAAGUGCGAAUGCUGACAUAAGUAACGAUAAAGCGGGUGAAAAGCCCGCUCGCCGGAAGACCAAGGGUUCCUGUCCAACGUUAAUCGGGGCAGGGUGAGUCGACCCCUAAGGCGAGGCCGAAAGGCGUAGUCGAUGGGAAACAGGUUAAUAUUCCUGUACUUGGUGUUACUGCGAAGGGGGGACGGAGAAGGCUAUGUUAGCCGGGCGACGGUUGUCCCGGUUUAAGCAUGUAGGCGGAGGUUCCAGGUAAAUCCGGUUCCUUGUUAACGCUGAGGUGUGAUGACGAGGCACUACGGUGCUGAAGUAACAAAUGCCCUGCUUCCAGGAAAAGCCUCUAAGCAUCAGGUAACAUCAAAUCGUACCCCAAACCGACACAGGUGGUCAGGUAGAGAAUACCAAGGCGCUUGAGAGAACUCGGGUGAAGGAACUAGGCAAAAUGGUGCCGUAACUUCGGGAGAAGGCACGCUGAUAUGUAGGUGAAGCCCCUGCGGGUGGAGCUGAAAUCAGUCGAAGAUACCAGCUGGCUGCAACUGUUUAUUAAAAACACAGCACUGUGCAAACACGAAAGUGGACGUAUACGGUGUGACGCCUGCCCGGUGCCGGAAGGUUAAUUGAUGGGGUUAGCGGUAACGCGAAGCUCUUGAUCGAAGCCCCGGUAAACGGCGGCCGUAACUAUAACGGUCCUAAGGUAGCGAAAUUCCUUGUCGGGUAAGUUCCGACCUGCACGAAUGGCGUAAUGAUGGCCAGGCUGUCUCCACCCGAGACUCAGUGAAAUUGAACUCGCUGUGAAGAUGCAGUGUACCCGCGGCAAGACGGAAAGACCCCGUGAACCUUUACUAUAGCUUGACACUGAACACUGGUCCUUGAUGUGUAGGAUAGGUGGGAGGCUUUGAAGCGUGGACGCCAGUCUGCGUGGAGCCAACCUUGAAAUACCACCCUUUAAUGGCUGGUGUUCUAACGUAGACCCGUAAUCCGGGUUGCGGACAGUGUCUGGUGGGUAGUUUGACUGGGGCGGUCUCCUCCCAAAGAGUAACGGAGGAGCACGAAGGUUAGCUAAUCCUGGUCGGACAUCAGGAGGUUAGUGCAAUGGCAUAAGCUAGCUUGACUGCGAGAGUGACGGCUCGAGCAGGUGCGAAAGCAGGUCAUAGUGAUCCGGUGGUUCUGAAUGGAAGGGCCAUCGCUCAACGGAUAAAAGGUACUCCGGGGAUAACAGGCUGAUACCGCCCAAGAGUUCAUAUCGACGGCGGUGUUUGGCACCUCGAUGUCGGCUCAUCACAUCCUGGGGCUGAAGUAGGUCCCAAGGGUAUGGCUGUUCGCCAUUUAAAGUGGUACGCGAGCUGGGUUUAGAACGUCGUGAGACAGUUCGGUCCCUAUCUGCCGUGGGCGCUGGAGAAUUGAGGGGGGCUGCUCCUAGUACGAGAGGACCGGAGUGGACGCAUCACUGGUGUUCGGGUUGUCAUGCCAAUGGCACUGCCCGGUAGCUAAAUGCGGAAGAGAUAAGUGCUGAAAGCAUCUAAGCACGAAACUUGCCCCGAGAUGAGUUCUCCCUGAGACUUUAAGUCUCCUGAAGGAACGUUGAAGACUACGACGUUGAUAGGUCGGGUGUGUAAGCGCAGCGAUGCGUUGAGCUAACCGAUACUAAUGAACCGUGAGGCUUAACCUUACAACGCCGAAG
Molecule: ribosomal RNA, 2928 nt
Filed under: Enterobacter ludwigii
Lineage: Bacteria; Pseudomonadati; Pseudomonadota; Gammaproteobacteria; Enterobacterales; Enterobacteriaceae
Description: bacterial LSU rRNA
Rfam family: Bacterial large subunit ribosomal RNA
Source: RNAcentral